UACGGAGGAUCCAAGCGUUAUCCGGAUUUAUUGGGUUUAAAGGGUGCGUAGGCGGCCGCAUAAGUUAGAGGUGAAAUCCCGGGGCUCAACUCCGGAACUGCCUCUGAUACUGUGUGGCUAGAGAAUGGUUGCUGUGGGCGGAAUGUGUAGUGUAGCGGUGAAAUGCUUAGAGAUUACACAGAACACCGAUUGCGAAGGCAGCUCACAAAGCCAGUUCUGACGCUGAGGCACGAAAGCGUGGGGAGCAAAC
Molecule: ribosomal RNA, 250 nt
Filed under: uncultured bacterium
Lineage: Bacteria
Description: partial 16S ribosomal RNA
Rfam family: Bacterial small subunit ribosomal RNA
Source: RNAcentral